Molecule: ribosomal RNA, 440 nt
Filed under: uncultured bacterium
Lineage: Bacteria
Description: partial 16S ribosomal RNA
Rfam family: Bacterial small subunit ribosomal RNA
Source: RNAcentral
CCUACGGGUGGCAGCAGUGGGGAAUAUUGCACAAUGGGGGAAACCCUGAUGCAGCGACGCCGCGUGAAGGAAGAAGUAUCUCGGUAUGUAAACUUCUAUCAGCAGGGAAGAAAAUGACGGUACCUGACUAAGAAGCCCCGGCUAACUACGUGCCAGCAGCCGCGGUAAUACGUAGGGGGCAAGCGUUAUCCGGAUUUACUGGGUGUAAAGGGCGCGUAGGCGGUUCAGCAAGUCAGAAGUGAAAGCCCGGGGCUCAACCCCGGGACUGCUUUUGAAACUGUUGAACUAGAGUGCGGGAGAGGUAAGCGGAAUGCCUAGUGUAGCGGUGAAAUGCGUAGAUAUUAGGAGGAACACCAGUGGCGAAGGCGGCUUACUGGACUGUAACUGACGCUGAGGCUCGAAAGCGUGGGGAGCAAACAGGAUUAGAUACCCCUGUAGUC